RNAcentral lists this ribosomal RNA (253 nucleotides) under uncultured bacterium. RNAcentral's name for it is "partial 16S ribosomal RNA". It matches the Rfam family "Bacterial small subunit ribosomal RNA", at positions 524 to 776 of the family's 1533-position model. The record is from RNAcentral.
UACGGGGGGGGCAAGCGUUGUUCGGAAUUACUGGGCGUAAAGGGUUCGUAGGUGGCCCGCUAAGUCAGACGUGAAAUCCCUCAGCUCAACUGGGGAACUGCGUCUGAGACUGGCGGGCUUGAGUGCAGGAGAGGAACGCGGAAUUCCAGGUGUAGCGGUGAAAUGCGUAGAUAUCUGGAGGAACACCGGUGGCGAAGGCGGCGUUCUGGACUGCUACUGACACUGAGGAACGAAAGCCAGGGGAGCAAACGGG